RNAcentral lists this ribosomal RNA (252 nucleotides) under uncultured bacterium. RNAcentral describes it as "partial 16S ribosomal RNA". It matches the Rfam family "Bacterial small subunit ribosomal RNA", at positions 524 to 776 of the family's 1533-position model. The record is from RNAcentral.
UACAGAGGUCUCAAGCGUUGUUCGGAUUCAUUGGGCGUAAAGGUGCGUAGGCGGCGCGGUAAGUCGGGUGUGAAAUCUCGGAGCUUAACUCCGAAACUGCAUUCGAUACUGCCGUGCUUGAGGACUGGAGAGGAGACUGGAAUUUACGGUGUAGCGGUGAAAUGCGUAGAUAUCGUAAGGAAGACCAGUGGCGAAGGCGGGUCUCUGGACAGUUCCUGACGCUGAGGCACGAAGGUCAGGGGAGCAAACGGG